UGUCUCUGUUUCCUGGCUAGAAUGGGUGAGCAGCUGUCUUCCACCAAGCCCUUCCACCAUUGCCAUUUCUGCCUUGGAGCCAAACAGCCAUGGAUUGAAGCCAGUGAAACCAUGAGCCAAAUAAACUUCUCUUUUAAAUUACUUGUCAACACAAACCAUCAAGUCAAGAAGAGUUUGUAGUGAAGAGUUUCAAAUCCUGAAAGAAAACAACUUCCAACUCAGAUUGAUGUACCCUGAAAAACUAUCUCUAUAACUGAUGGGAAAAUAAGAUACUUCCAUGAUAAAGAACAACUGAAGGAAUUCAUGACCACUAAACCAACCUUACAGAGAGUGUUGAAGGAUAUUCUGGAGAAAGACAAAGAUGACCAUGUUUUCCGGAACAGCAGCAGAGGACGAUUGCCAAACAAGGCCAAGUCUAGGGGAAAAUACUACUUUAAAAAAAUGCCGAAACAUAUUCUCAUGG
Long non-coding RNA from Cavia porcellus (domestic guinea pig), 463 nucleotides. RefSeq lists it as uncharacterized. The transcript has 3 exons. NCBI's taxonomy places the organism in Eukaryota, Metazoa, Chordata, Mammalia, Rodentia, Caviidae. The record is from RefSeq and is a predicted model, not a curated record.